Molecule: long non-coding RNA, 475 nt
Organism: Balaenoptera musculus (blue whale)
Lineage: Eukaryota; Metazoa; Chordata; Mammalia; Artiodactyla; Balaenopteridae
Exons: 3
Source: RefSeq, a predicted model, not a curated record
UACAAGAAAUGAAGAUUCUGAAAAAGAAGCUGAUGACCAAGAUAAGGGAUAGAAAGAUGACGUGUUUGCUUGAAGAGUGAGUGUGACUUGGACAGCUGGACUGAGAUUCUGCAGAGUGACCCCAUGACCCCAUGUGGCCUGCAUUUCCUUUUCUCAUGAGAGAUUUCCGUGCUUUGGACUCUCCAGACCCACAGACCAGGGUUUGGCUGCUGAACCUGGUUUGGAGGAGACAGAGCAAGAUGCUGCCUCAGGAGCUCAUCCUCCACAGCCAACCCAGGCAGCACGGGCCUUAGGCCGACCCCGGGGAUGUGUGACCAAAAGUCAGGAACCUCUGGACAUGGAUUGCUGACAUCUGGUCCACAAGAUUCCAGACAAGUUAAUAUCUUGGUGCCUGCCUUCUUUACAAGGCAAGUUCCAAGGGAAGGACUGUGGCUCCCCUUCCUAGCCGCCUGGCGAAGGCGCACAAGGAUCCCUC